RNAcentral lists this non-coding RNA (30 nucleotides) under Mus musculus (house mouse). Lineage: Eukaryota; Metazoa; Chordata; Mammalia; Rodentia; Muridae. The record is from RNAcentral.
UGGCUGCCUUGGAAUGUGUUGUCUUGCUGU